GGGCCCGCACAAGCAGUGGAGCAUGUGGUUUAAUUCGAUGCAACGCGAAGAACCUUACCAGGCCUUGACAUCCUCGGAACUUUCUAGAGAUAGAUUGGUGCCUUCGGGAACGCAGUGACAGGUGCUGCAUGGCUGUCGUCAGCUCGUGUUGUGAAAUGUUGGGUUAAGUCCCGUAACGAGCGCAACCCUUGUCCUUAUUUGCCAGCACGUAAUGGUGGGAACUCUAAGGAGACUGCCGGUGACAAACCGGAGGAAGGUGGGGACGACGUCAAGUCAUCAUGGCCCUUACGACCAGGGCUACACACGUGCUACAAUGGCUAAUACAAUGGGCAGCCAACCCGCGAGGGGAGCC
Molecule: ribosomal RNA, 352 nt
Filed under: uncultured bacterium
Lineage: Bacteria
Description: bacterial SSU rRNA
Rfam family: Bacterial small subunit ribosomal RNA
Source: RNAcentral